RNAcentral lists this ribosomal RNA (253 nucleotides) under uncultured bacterium. RNAcentral describes it as "partial 16S ribosomal RNA". It matches the Rfam family "Bacterial small subunit ribosomal RNA", at positions 524 to 776 of the family's 1533-position model. The record is from RNAcentral.
UACGAAGGGGGCUAGCGUUGCUCGGAAUCACUGGGCGUAAAGGGUUCGUAGGCGGGUCUUUAAGUCAGGGGGGAAAUCCUGGAGCUCAACUCCAGAACUGCCUUUGAUACUGAAGAUCUUGAGUUCGGGAGAGGUGAGUGGAACUGCGAGUGUAGAGGUGAAAUUCGUAGAUAUUCGCAAGAACACCAGUGGCGAAGGCGGCUCACUGGCCCGAUACUGACGCUGAGGCACGAAAGCGUGGGGAGCAAACAGG